This 468-nucleotide ribosomal RNA is filed under the name uncultured bacterium. RNAcentral describes it as "partial 16S ribosomal RNA". It matches the Rfam family "Bacterial small subunit ribosomal RNA", at positions 28 to 507 of the family's 1533-position model. The record is from RNAcentral.
GACGAACGCUGGCGGCGUGCUUAACACAUGCAAGUCGAACGGAAAGGCCCUGCUUUUGUGGGGUGCUCGAGUGGCGAACGGGUGAGUAACACGUGAGUAACCUGCCCUUGACUUUGGGAUAACUUCAGGAAACUGGGGCUAAUACCGGAUAGGAGCUCCUGCUGCAUGGUGGGGGUUGGAAAGUUUCGGCGGUUGGGGAUGGACUCGCGGCUUAUCAGCUUGUUGGUGGGGUAGUGGCUUACCAAGGCUUUGACGGGUAGCCGGCCUGAGAGGGUGACCGGCCACAUUGGGACUGAGGUACGGCCCAGACUCCUACGGGAGGCAGCAGUGGGGAAUAUUGCAAAAUGGGCGGAAGCCUGAUGCAGCAACGCCGCGUUCGGGAAGACGGCCUUCGGGUUGGAAACCGCUUUCGCCUGUGACGAAGCGUGAGUGACGGUAAUGGGUAAAGAAGCACCGGCUAACUACGUG